UUAAGCGACUAAGCGUACACGGUGGAUGCCCUGGCAGUCAGAGGCGAUGAAGGACGUGCUAAUCUGCGAAAAGCGUCGGUAAGGUGAUAUGAACCGUUAUAACCGGCGAUGUCCGAAUGGGGAAACCCAGUGUGAUUCGUCACACUAUCGUUAACUGAAUACAUAGGUUAACGAGGCGAACCGGGGGAACUGAAACAUCUAAGUACCCCGAGGAAAAGAAAUCAACCGAGAUUCCCCCAGUAGCGGCGAGCGAACGGGGAGCAGCCCAGAGUCUGAAUCAGCUUGUGUGUUAGUGGAACGGUCUGGAAAGUCCGACGGUACAGGGUGAUAGUCCCGUACACCAAAAUGCACAGGUUGUGAACUCGAAGAGUAGGGCGGGACACGUGGUAUCCUGUCUGAAUAUGGGGGGACCAUCCUCCAAGGCUAAAUACUCCUGACUGACCGAUAGUGAACCAGUACCGUGAGGGAAAGGCGAAAAGAACCCCGGCGAGGGGAGUGAAAAAGAACCUGAAACCGUGUACGUACAAGCAGUGGGAGCACCUUCGGGUGUGACUGCGUACCUUUUGUAUAAUGGGUCAGCGACUUAUAUUCUGUAGCAAGGUUAACCGUAUAGGGGAGCCGCAGGGAAACCGAGUCUUAACUGGGCGUUAAGUUGCAGGGUAUAGACCCGAAACCCGGUGAUCUAGCCAUGGGCAGGUUGAAGGUUGGGUAACACUAACUGGAGGACCGAACCGACUAAUGUUGAAAAAUUAGCGGAUGACUUGUGGCUGGGGGUGAAAGGCCAAUCAAACCGGGAGAUAGCUGGUUCUCCCCGAAAGCUAUUUAGGUAGCGCCUCGUGAACUCAUCUUCGGGGGUAGAGCACUGUUUCGGCUAGGGGGUCAUCCCGACUUACCAACCCGAUGCAAACUACGAAUACCGAAGAAUGUUAUCACGGGAGACACACGGCGGGUGCUAACGUCCGUCGUGAAGAGGGAAACAACCCAGACCGCCAGCUAAGGUCCCAAAGUCAUGGUUAAGUGGGAAACGAUGUGGGAAGGCACAGACAGCCAGGAUGUUGGCUUAGAAGCAGCCAUCAUUUAAAGAAAGCGUAAUAGCUCACUGGUCGAGUCGGCCUGCGCGGAAGAUGUAACGGGGCUAAACCAUGCACCGAAGCUGCGGCAGCGACACUAUGUGUUGUUGGGUAGGGGAGCGUUCUGUAAGCCUGCGAAGGUGACCUGUGAGGGUUGCUGGAGGUAUCAGAAGUGCGAAUGCUGACAUAAGUAACGAUAAAGCGGGUGAAAAGCCCGCUCGCCGGAAGACCAAGGGUUCCUGUCCAACGUUAAUCGGGGCAGGGUGAGUCGACCCCUAAGGCGAGGCCGAAAGGCGUAGUCGAUGGGAAACAGGUUAAUAUUCCUGUACUUGGUGUUACUGCGAAGGGGGGACGGAGAAGGCUAUGUUAGCCGGGCGACGGUUGUCCCGGUUUAAGCAUGUAGGCUGAUUGUCCAGGCAAAUCCGGAUAAUCAAGGCUGAGGUGUGAUGACGAGGCACUACGGUGCUGAAGUAACAAAUGCCCUGCUUCCAGGAAAAGCCUCUAAGCAUCAGGUAACAUCAAAUCGUACCCCAAACCGACACAGGUGGUCAGGUAGAGAAUACCAAGGCGCUUGAGAGAACUCGGGUGAAGGAACUAGGCAAAAUGGUGCCGUAACUUCGGGAGAAGGCACGCUGGUGUGUAGGUGAAGUCCCUGCGGAUGGAGCUGAGACCAGUCGAAGAUACCAGCUGGCUGCAACUGUUUAUUAAAAACACAGCACUGUGCAAACACGAAAGUGGACGUAUACGGUGUGACGCCUGCCCGGUGCCGGAAGGUUAAUUGAUGGGGUUAUCCGUAAGGAGAAGCUCUUGAUCGAAGCCCCGGUAAACGGCGGCCGUAACUAUAACGGUCCUAAGGUAGCGAAAUUCCUUGUCGGGUAAGUUCCGACCUGCACGAAUGGCGUAAUGAUGGCCAGGCUGUCUCCACCCGAGACUCAGUGAAAUUGAACUCGCUGUGAAGAUGCAGUGUACCCGCGGCAAGACGGAAAGACCCCGUGAACCUUUACUAUAGCUUGACACUGAACAUUGAGCCUUGAUGUGUAGGAUAGGUGGGAGGCUUUGAAGCGUGGACGCCAGUCUGCGUGGAGCCAACCUUGAAAUACCACCCUUUAAUGUUUGAUGUUCUAACGUUGGCCCCUGACCGGGGUUGCGGACAGUGUCUGGUGGGUAGUUUGACUGGGGCGGUCUCCUCCCAAAGCGUAACGGAGGAGCACGAAGGUUAGCUAAUCCUGGUCGGACAUCAGGAGGUUAGUGCAAUGGCAUAAGCUAGCUUGACUGCGAGCGUGACGGCGCGAGCAGGUGCGAAAGCAGGUCAUAGUGAUCCGGUGGUUCUGAAUGGAAGGGCCAUCGCUCAACGGAUAAAAGGUACUCCGGGGAUAACAGGCUGAUACCGCCCAAGAGUUCAUAUCGACGGCGGUGUUUGGCACCUCGAUGUCGGCUCAUCACAUCCUGGGGCUGAAGUAGGUCCCAAGGGUAUGGCUGUUCGCCAUUUAAAGUGGUACGCGAGCUGGGUUUAGAACGUCGUGAGACAGUUCGGUCCCUAUCUGCCGUGGACGCUGGAGAAUUGAGGGGGGCUGCUCCUAGUACGAGAGGACCGGAGUGGACGCAUCACUGGUGUUCGGGUUGUCAUGCCAAUGGCACUGCCCGGUAGCUAAAUGCGGAAGAGAUAAGUGCUGAAAGCAUCUAAGCACGAAACUUGCCCCGAGAUGAGUUCUCCCUGAGACUUUAAGUCUCCUGAAGGAACGUUAAAGACGAUGACGUUGAUAGGCCGGGUGUGUAAGCGCAGCGAUGCGUUGAGCUAACCGGUACUAAUGAACCGUGAGGCUUAACCUU
Molecule: ribosomal RNA, 2900 nt
Filed under: Klebsiella pneumoniae
Lineage: Bacteria; Pseudomonadati; Pseudomonadota; Gammaproteobacteria; Enterobacterales; Enterobacteriaceae
Description: 23S ribosomal RNA
Rfam family: Bacterial large subunit ribosomal RNA
Source: RNAcentral